This 750-nucleotide ribosomal RNA is filed under the name uncultured Rhizobium sp. RNAcentral describes it as "bacterial SSU rRNA". It matches the Rfam family "Bacterial small subunit ribosomal RNA", at positions 8 to 776 of the family's 1533-position model. The record is from RNAcentral. Lineage: Bacteria; Pseudomonadati; Pseudomonadota; Alphaproteobacteria; Hyphomicrobiales; Rhizobiaceae.
AGAGUUUGAUCCUGGCUCAGGACGAACGCUGGCGGCGUGCUUAACACAUGCAAGUCGAGCGGAAAGGCCCUUCGGGGUACUCGAGCGGCGAACGGGUGAGUAACACGUGAGCAACCUGCCCUCAGCUCUGGGAUAGCUCCCGGAAACGGGAAUUAAUACCGGAUAUGACCCCAACCGACAUCGGUCAGGGUGGAAAGGAUUCCGGCUGAGGAUGGACUCGCGGCCUAUCAGCUAGUUGGUGGGGUAACGGCCCACCAAGGCGACGACGGGUAGCCGGCCUGAGAGGGCGACCGGCCACACUGGGACUGAGACACGGCCCAGACUCCUGCGGGAGGCAGCAGUGGGGAAUAUUGCGCAAUGGGCGAAAGCCUGACGCAGCGACGCCGCGUGGGGGAUGAAGGCCUUCGGGUUGUAAACCCCUUUCAGCAGGGACGAAGCGAGAGUGACGGUACCUGCAGAAGAAGCGCCGGCUAACUACGUGCCAGCAGCCGCGGUAACACGUAGGGCGCAAGCGUUGUCCGGAAUUAUUGGGCGUAAAGAGCUCGUAGGCGGUCUGUUGCGUCCGCUGUGAAAACCCGGGGCUUAACCCUGGGCUGGCAGUGGAUACGGACAGACUAGAGGUAGGUAGGGGAGAAUGGAAUUCCCGGUGUAGCGGUGAAAUGCGCAGAUAUCGGGAGGAACACCGGUGGCGAAGGCGGUUCUCUGGGCCUUACCUGACGCUGAGGAGCGAAAGCGUGGGGAGCGAACAGG